GCAGGUCAUCACUGUGGGUAUAUAAGGACCUGCCCACCGUCAUCCUAGUACAGGCCACGUGAAGUUGUCACUUUGUGAACACCUCUCUUACAAACAUGAGAUCUCUGUGUCUGAUGUUGGUGGUGGUGACCCUGGUCGCCCUGAUGGGGUCAGCCGGAGCCAUGCCUGACCCCUACGCCCUGGCUGACCCUGACCCCGCAGCUGACCCACAGUUUGAAGAGCUUCACAAUUUUGGUCGGAGUUUCGUUCGGGGUCUUAUUCGCAGUAUUGGAAACCCCCUCAGAUUAUAGUUAACCUUAUAACCUGUUGCCCGUGACCGACAGUUUCCUCCCAGUCGAAGGAUUUUGUCUGGCAAACGGCCAACCAAAUGUUUACUUUACUGACAACCUCCAGCUUUUGUCUACUGGAGGAAGCUGGAUUAAUCUACUGAAGCAACUUUCUCUAUCAUCUUCUGAACCUUCAGCAUCUUCCCAGCAACCAGCAACUUCCAGCAUCUCCAAAUCCUGCAUCAUGUUACACUUCCAGCACCUCCACCAUGAUACCUGGUUACCUGGUUGAUGGGGUUCUGGGAGUUCUUCUACUCCCCAAGCCCGGCCCGAGGCCAGGCUUGACUUGUGAGAGUUUGGUCCACUGGGUGCUGGGGUAGCUGGAAAUUGGUAGUUUAGUAGUUUAUCAACUGUUGAACCGAAUAUUUUGAUAAAUAUAUAUAUUUUCUUA
Molecule: long non-coding RNA, 717 nt
Organism: Procambarus clarkii (red swamp crayfish)
Lineage: Eukaryota; Metazoa; Arthropoda; Malacostraca; Decapoda; Cambaridae
Source: RefSeq, a predicted model, not a curated record